RNAcentral lists this ribosomal RNA (433 nucleotides) under uncultured bacterium. RNAcentral's name for it is "partial 16S ribosomal RNA". It matches the Rfam family "Bacterial small subunit ribosomal RNA", at positions 29 to 507 of the family's 1533-position model. The record is from RNAcentral.
AGCGAACGCUGGCGGCAGGCCUAACACAUGCAAGUCGAACGAACUCUUCGGAGUUAGUGGCGGACGGGUGAGUAACACGUGGGAACGUGCCUUUUGGUUCGGAAUAACUCAGGGAAACUUGUGCUAAUACCGAAUGUGCCCUUCGGGGGAAAGAUUUAUCGCCAUUAGAGCGGCCCGCGUCUGAUUAGCUAGUUGGUGAGGUAACGGCUCACCAAGGCGACGAUCAGUAGCUGGUCUGAGAGGAUGACCAGCCACACUGGGACUGAGACACGGCCCAGACUCCUACGGGAGGGAGCAGUGGGGAAUCGUGCGAAAUGGGCGAAAGCCUGACGCAGCCAUGCCGCGUGAAUGAUGAAGGUAUUAGGAUUGUAAAAUUCUUUCACCGGGGACGAUAAUGACGGUACCCGGAGAAGAAGCCCCGGCUAACUUCGUG